Long non-coding RNA from Oncorhynchus mykiss (rainbow trout), 2203 nucleotides. RefSeq lists it as uncharacterized. The record is from RefSeq and is a predicted model, not a curated record. Lineage: Eukaryota; Metazoa; Chordata; Actinopteri; Salmoniformes; Salmonidae.
UCUCCGCUGCGCACGGUGAGCGCCCGGUAGCCUACCUAUCAUACCCAUGGCGGAGAGGGGUCUGCUCGCUCGUGUCUGUUGGAGUUUGGAGGGGUGCUGGUCGUUUGAGAACACGUGACCUAAUCUGAUCAUACGAUUGUGUCUAGGAUUUGGAAGAAGGGGUUUUCUGGCUACAUCGUGCGCUCAAGGCUCGAAGGUUUUACGCUCAUAGCCUAUAUGUUUUUUCCCUCCACUCUCUCUCUAGCUCGCUUGUGCCACCGCUCCGCCUACCCUUUUCGCAACAUUGACGCAACCUAUAAAUACUGGAACAAAAGAACAACUUCCUUGACUCCUGCUGAAAUUGCACUUAAUCGGGACACGGAUCCCUGUUGUCAAGUGAAAGGAAAUAUUGAGACGGGGGUUUAUCUGGCAGCGAUUUGAGCUGUGUCAUCCCACUCGAACACUGGUCUCCGAGGCGCAUAAUGGGUUGAGAGUCCUGGAGUUCCUUUCAGACACUGAUAGGCCAUCUGGAUGCUGCUUUCGGGUGAUUCCUCACAACUUGAGAAAUUAUUAUUAUUUUAAUUUCCACAAUGUAAUCCAUAUAAUGUUCCUUUGGAGGAAGUAUUGUUGGCAUAUAUUUGAAAGUUUGUAUCUAAAAGCAUAUUUGAGAAAUAAUCGAUCCGUGUUUGCCUACCCAGACACCAUAACUGUUGCUCUAUAUGGGGCACAAACAUAAUCUUCAAGUUAUUUAAAACCUCAUUGUGUGCUCUAAAAUGAGAAACAUUUACAUAAUUAAAUCUAUUAGGAUUUUGAAAAGUAUGAAAAUUCUAAAUUUCUCAUUGUGUUUUAUGGACUGUUUUACUGACACAGAAGGAAAGAGUGGGAUCUCUGGGACUUUUUUUUGUUAGUUAUGACCAAAUCUAUGUGGGGUAUGUAGAACUUCAUUCUCCUAUUGCCAGUACAUUGUACUGUACUGGACGCUACUCUGCUGUUCUGUACUGGCAAUAGAAAGAAUGGAGUUCUACAUACCCCACAUAUAUUUGGUCAUAACUAACAAAAAAAAAUCCCAGAGAUCCCACUCUGUAACCGUCUGUCAGUAAAAUAUGAGAAAUUGAAGUCUCUAUAUUUGUGAUACUUUUCAAAAUAUGAAAUGUACAUUGAAAUCUUGCAUAAUGAAAUGUUUUACUCAUUUUAGUGGAAACAAUAAGGUUUCAAAUGACAAGAUGCAGUUUGUACCCCAUAUAGAUCAACAGUUAUGGUAUCUUGGUAUCUCCUGGGUAGGGCUGAAAUGUAAAAUAUGUUAACUUGAAAUAAUUAUUUCUCAAAUAUGCUUUUAGAUACAAAUUUCAAAUAUGUCAACAAUACUUCAUCCAAAGGACCAUUUUAUGGAUAAAAUUGUGACAAUCCCCCCCAAAAUCCCUUUUGUUCUAGUUUCAUGUGGAAUUACUGUUUCUUUCUCCGAAGUGUGAGGGGGAGAGAGUGAGCCAGAGGAUGAGGGUAUGCAGGAGAGGGAGUUGGAGAGGAUGUGUGUGUGUAUGCAGGGAGUGAGAGGUGUGUGUGUGUGUGUGUGUGUGUAAGGGAGAGAAUCAGAUGAUGAGAGAUGGAGCUGGUUGUGGUGGUGCUGUAGCAGCACAGAAUGGUUUGUGGGUUACACAGAGAUGCAGGCCGUACUGUGCUGCCGCAGUAACGCCUGGACAGACAGCAUCUGUGGAACUACCCGGAAGAGUGUGUGUGGGAGAGUGUGUGUGUGGGAUCCGACUGCCUCAUCACUGGCUGCCUUGCUGUAGCAGCACGUAAAUAUUGGAGUUAAAACUACUGCUGAAGCCUCCAGUAUUGAACGUGCUGCUGAAGCAAAGCUGACCGCUUACCACCGUUAACUUACGGCGAGUCUGCAUGCAUCAGUCCCUCUACUGCGCAUCGCAGGAGAACGGUGCACAGGAGAAGACACCGAAUGGAGAGGGACGCUGUGUGUCGUCAUCUUUAUGACGGGUACAUAAUUAUUAGGUUAAGCAGUUGUUUCUGUCCAUUUAACUUUUUUUACAUGUAUGUUGUAUUUUAUAGUUCAUUUUUGGGGGGUUAUGUUCAUAUAUUUGUAUAUACAUUAACAUUUUCUUUGCACAUUAAAUCAUGCAAACAAGGAAUAAUUUAGACUGGCCCAUGUUUUGUUUUUUUUGUAUUGAAAGGCAUUUGUAUUGCAUUCUCUAAUAAAUGUUUUUGAAAUGAU